This 463-nucleotide ribosomal RNA is filed under the name uncultured bacterium. RNAcentral describes it as "partial 16S ribosomal RNA". It matches the Rfam family "Bacterial small subunit ribosomal RNA", at positions 28 to 507 of the family's 1533-position model. The record is from RNAcentral.
GAUGAACGCUGACAGAAUGCUUAACACAUGCAAGUCUUUGGCGAAUCUGUGCUUGCACAGGCUAGCCAAGGCGGACGGGUGAGUAACGCGUAAAGAACUUGCCCUGCAGACAGGGAUAACAGACGGAAACGACUGAUAACACCUGAUACAGUUGCCGGCACGCAUGUGCCUGGCAAUGAAAAGAGAUGCUGCAGGAGAGCUUUGCGUCCUAUUAGCUUGUUGGUGAGGUGACGGCUCACCAAGGCGAUGAUAGGUAGCCGGCCUGAGAGGGUGAACGGCCACAAGGGGACUGAGAUACGGCCCUUACUCCUACGGGAGACAGCAGUGGGGAAUAUUGGACAAUGGGGGCAACCCUGAUCCAGCAAUUCUGUGUGCACGAAGAAGGUUUUCGGAUUGUAAAGUGCUUUCAGCAGGGAAGAAGAAAGUGACGGUACCUGCAGAAGAAGCGACGGCUAAAUACGUG